CCCUGCACCGUGCGUGCAGGGACAUCUUCCGACUGCAACAAGGGGUCUGCCCGUG
The sequence is a regulatory RNA element, 55 nucleotides long. It matches the Rfam family "ClpQY promoter". The record is from Rfam.